This 691-nucleotide ribosomal RNA is filed under the name uncultured Bacteroidota bacterium. RNAcentral describes it as "bacterial SSU rRNA". It matches the Rfam family "Bacterial small subunit ribosomal RNA", at positions 8 to 692 of the family's 1533-position model. Lineage: Bacteria; Pseudomonadati; Bacteroidota. The record is from RNAcentral.
AGAGUUUGAUCCUGGCUCAGGAUGAACGCUAGCGGCAGGCUUAAUACAUGCAAGUCGAGGGGCAGCGGGGGUAGCGAUACCUGCCGGCGACCGGCAAACGGGUGCGGAACACGUACACAACCUUCCUUUAAGUGGGGGAUAGCCCAGAGAAAUUUGGAUUAAUACUCCGUAACAUUAUUAAGUGGCAUCAUUUGAUAAUUAAAGCUCCGGCGCUUGAAGAUGGGUGUGCGUCUGAUUAGGUAGUUGGUGAGGGUAACGGCCCACCAAGCCUACGAUCAGUAACUGGUGUGAGAGCACGACCAGUCACACGGGCACUGAGACACGGGCCCGACUCCUACGGGAGGCAGCAGUAAGGAAUAUUGGUCAAUGGACGCAAGUCUGAACCAGCCAUGCCGCGUGGAGGAUGAAGGUCCUCUGGAUUGUAAACUUCUUUUAUCUGGGAAGAAAUGCAUUUUUUCCAAAGUGUUUGACGGUACCAGAUGAAUAAGCACCGGCUAACUCCGUGCCAGCAGCCGCGGUAAUACGGAGGGUGCAAAGCGUUAUCCGGAUUCACUGGGUUUAAAGGGUGCGUAGGUGGGCAGUUAAGUUCAGUGGUGAAAUCUCCGGGCUCAACCCGGAAACUGCCAUUGAUACUAUCUGUCUUGAAUAUCGUGGAGGUAAGCGGAAUAUGUCAUGUAACGGGAAAUGCUUA